GAUAUUGCGUAAUUCAUCCGUACCUGUAGGCACUGUUCCCAUAUAUCAGGCACUUGAGAAAGUGAACGGCAUAGCUGAAAAUCUCACCUGGGAAAUUUUCAGGGAAACACUGAUUGAACAAGCUGAGCAGGGUGUAGACUAUUUUACCAUUCAUGCUGGGGUCUUACUUCGAUACAUCCCUCUAACAGCAAAAAGAAUGACAGGAAUUGUAUCACGUGGAGGAUCUAUUCAUGCAAAGUGGUGUUUGGCUCAUCAUAAGGAAAAUUUCGCUUAUGAACACUGGGAUGACAUACUUGACAUCUGUAAUCAGUAUGAUAUAUCCCUAUCGAUUGGUGAUGGGCUGAGACCUGGUUCUAUUUAUGAUGCCAACGACACUGCUCAAUUUGCAGAGCUCCUAACUCAGGGCGAACUGACUCGUAGAGCAUGGGAGAAAGACGUGCAGGUAAUGAAUAUAAAUCUCUCUUGCUUACAUAUAUGCAUGUGUUCACAAUCACACCUAUGCAUUUGAGAGCAAACCUUUUUACUCCUAGUUAUAUGCAUUUGAAAGAACAUCUCACUGUUGUAACAUUUGUAAGAACCACUCUAAGGCUUACCUAGUACAGUCAGUUUCAUGCAUGUCUUCAAACAUUUGUGGCUGAAUUGUCGGGAAUUUAGGAGCCUCUCAAGCAGUUUCUUAUGAUUUCCUCACCCAAUAACACUUUUUUACGCUGGUUUGGUGGAGAGCUUCAAUUUACAAUACAGGAUACGUCUCUUAAAUAGCAGAUUAUUUUCCCACAAUUAGUUUUAUGGGAGUGUAUGUUAAAAUGUGGAACUUACAUUUUCAUUUUUGGAAGCAGGGAAUGUUAUAUCUUCCAUGUUACUAACUAGUGACCACAUACUUGAUUUUCAGGUAAUGAAUGAAGGACCUGGGCAUAUCCCAAUGCAUAAGAUCCCUGAAAACAUGCAAAAACAGCUUGAGUGGUGUAAUGAAGCACCUUUCUACACUCUUGGUCCUUUGACUACAGAUGUAGCUCCUGGAUACGACCACAUUACCUCUGCCAUUGGAGCUGCCAAUAUUGGUGCUCUUGGCA
RNAcentral lists this long non-coding RNA (1070 nucleotides) under Cucumis sativus (cucumber). Its description in RNAcentral is "long non-coding RNA (CSAT_LNC000358)". The record is from RNAcentral. Lineage: Eukaryota; Viridiplantae; Streptophyta; Magnoliopsida; Cucurbitales; Cucurbitaceae.